Molecule: long non-coding RNA, 837 nt
Organism: Herpailurus yagouaroundi (jaguarundi)
Lineage: Eukaryota; Metazoa; Chordata; Mammalia; Carnivora; Felidae
Exons: 2
Source: RefSeq, a predicted model, not a curated record
AAUGCGCCAGACUUGGGCAGAAGGCGGCUCCUGCUUCUGGCUGUGCCCAGCCACCCGCAGCCCUGGCCGGCACCUGAUGAGCCCCAGGGCUCGCCGCGGACGCUGUGAUGACGGAGGGCUCGACUGCUCUGUGGACCGUCCUCUCCGGUACCCCAGACUUCCAGCAAGUCUCACUUAGGAGGCACCUCAGCAUCUUCACCAUCUGGGAAAAAUCCCUGGAGAUGAGAAAUGCUUGUGCGUGUUGUAUCUGGUGGUCUAGUAUUGUGGAAGAGACAUUUGCCUCUGACCUUUUGGGGGACAAAAAUACACGUAUUAAUUUUAUAAUUGGGAGAAGAACAAAGAAGUCAACAGCUCUCUGUAUCUGAAUUAGUAAUGUACAUAUUUAUGCGGUAAAUAAUCACUAUGAGAAAUUAUUGGUAUAAUCUGUUUUGCAUUCUCAGGUUGCCUAAUUUAUUUCUCGAGUCCAAACACUGGCUAAAGGAUACUUUCGGCAGACUGAAUCUUUGUAAGUUUUGGAAAAACACAUUUAAGUUGACAAAUGAAGACUGACAUUUUGCUAUGCUUUAAUAGGCUGAACACCAAGCAAAUCUUUUUCCUUUAUUUGUUCAUUUUGCAAUAAGUCUUGACAUCACCUUCUCCUCUUUCUUAAAUUUGCUUACUUAGCAGGGCACAAUGCAGUUUUGAUGUACAAUCUGAUUUCAAAAGAAUCUUUGAGACAGCUAAUCUGUACACUCACUGUAAUAAAAUAUUACAGCACAAACGGUAUAUAAGAUACUCACUUUCUUGAGAACCUCUUAGCACCAACGAGCAAUGACAUUAAAAAAGUAUAGAUUUUCA